RNAcentral lists this ribosomal RNA (937 nucleotides) under Acinetobacter calcoaceticus. Its description in RNAcentral is "bacterial SSU rRNA". It matches the Rfam family "Bacterial small subunit ribosomal RNA", at positions 56 to 986 of the family's 1533-position model. Lineage: Bacteria; Pseudomonadati; Pseudomonadota; Gammaproteobacteria; Moraxellales; Moraxellaceae. The record is from RNAcentral.
UGCAGUCGAGCGGAGUGAUGGUGCUUGCACUAUCACUUAGCGGCGGACGGGUGAGUAAUGCUUAGGAAUCUGCCUAUUAGUGGGGGACAACAUUUCGAAAGGAAUGCUAAUACCGCAUACGUCCUACGGGAGAAAGCAGGGGAUCUUCGGACCUUGCGCUAAUAGAUGAGCCUAAGUCGGAUUAGCUAGUUGGUGGGGUAAAGGCCUACCAAGGCGACGAUCUGUAGCGGGUCUGAGAGGAUGAUCCGCCACACUGGGACUGAGACACGGCCCAGACUCCUACGGGAGGCAGCAGUGGGGAAUAUUGGACAAUGGGCGCAAGCCUGAUCCAGCCAUGCCGCGUGUGUGAAGAAGGCCUUAUGGUUGUAAAGCACUUUAAGCGAGGAGGAGGCUACUGAAGUUAAUACCUUCAGAUAGUGGACGUUACUCGCAGAAUAAGCACCGGCUAACUCUGUGCCAGCAGCCGCGGUAAUACAGAGGGUGCAAGCGUUAAUCGGAUUUACUGGGCGUAAAGCGCGCGUAGGCGGCUAAUUAAGUCAAAUGUGAAAUCCCCGAGCUUAACUUGGGAAUUGCAUUCGAUACUGGUUAGCUAGAGUGUGGGAGAGGAUGGUAGAAUUCCAGGUGUAGCGGUGAAAUGCGUAGAGAUCUGGAGGAAUACCGAUGGCGAAGGCAGCCAUCUGGCCUAACACUGACGCUGAGGUGCGAAAGCAUGGGGAGCAAACAGGAUUAGAUACCCUGGUAGUCCAUGCCGUAAACGAUGUCUACUAGCCGUUGGGGCCUUUGAGGCUUUAGUGCCCUUAGCUACGCGAUAAGUAGACCGCCUGGGGAGUACGGUCCGCAAGACUAAAACUCACAUGAAUUGACAGGAUCCCCCCGAAUCUGCGGAGCACGCGGUUUAAUUCGAUGCAAUGCCGAAUAACCUUCCCUGGCUUUGACA